AAGUGAGGCUGACUGAAGUUUGUGUCUGUGGAGAUGGGAGUUUGUAGACUGUGGUCAUCAUGGAACCGGCAUGGACCUGACCUAGACGGUGAUGGUCGCUGGGGAUGGCUUUGAUGGCUGCUCUCUUGUGGAAAAUGCUAAAACUCAUCACUAAGUCUCCCCUUCAGUGGUUUUGCAUGCACACUCUCACAGAAGUAAUACUAAAGUGUUUUGGUAUGAAAUAGCUUGAAGCCUUGCUUUAAACAUGAGAAAACCAGAUGAUGGGCGCCUGGCUGGCUCGAACGAAGAUCAUGAACCCUCCACCACAUGGCAAGUCUGCAGAUAGGUGCUGGAUGAACACUGGAAGUGUGUAUUUUAUUAAUUGAGGCCAGGAAGAGAAUGCACUAGAGAAAUACCCAGGGACCAGGAUACCAACAAGAGAGGGCACGCGUGUGUGAGGGGAUGCCAUCCUCAGAGUUCCCUCCGUCAGUGCCCGGGCCCCCACGUGUCCUGCUGACUCACCCUGAGAAGCAGGGGGCCAGACGGUCUCUUGGAGAGACGAGUCUAAAAGGACACUGCUGGCCUGUCGUCAUGAGUCCUCUUCCCAGAGUCAAGUGGGAUGGACCGUUUCACACACACACCCUCUCCCAUGAGCACUGCCUCUGUCUCAUGAGGCCGCUGCCUACUCGCUCCUGGUGAGGGCUGUUUCAUCUGUGCACAGCCCGUCUUGAGGGCUCAACGCUCUACCUCCAUAGGGCAAAGGUAAACACAGCGUACCAACCAGGGACCGUGAACUGCCAGGCCCUGCUAAUGAGCGCCUCCGUGCUCACAGACAAGCCAGGGAAAGGAGGCACACCUGCAGGAGAGCUCUCUUUGGGGAGCUAGGAGCAAAGCCCGGGGGCAGGGAACGGUGUAAUACAGAUACGGCUCAGCUGACAUGAGCCCGCGGGUUCUUCUGAGGUUAAACCUGACCAGAAGAUGCGGAAGGACACCUAGAACAAGAUCCCUGUGCCCCCAGAGAUGAAUAUGAACAUGAGCACUCGGUGAGGGUUCAAGAAACAGCUGAACUGGACCAAACUGAUUCAGGAUGUCUAAGUGGCAACGCCUGUGAUUGGUUUGCAGGGCCUCCAGUGAGCCCAAGCCUGAUGGUAAGCGACUGAGAUGUGAAGGCAGAGAAAGAUUUUCUUUUCCCAUAAAAUCAAGGGGAUGAGCAUCAAAACAGAGGUGAGAGCUCGCCCAUAACGAGAUUCAGAAGAAGUGGAUGGCAACAGAACUCAGCUGGCUAGAGGAAGCAGGUGUUCCUGCUGGUGACGGAGCACAUAGUUAGCUUCGUGUCAUGCUAACGAAUGGCACUGUUCCCAAGAAGCCUGAACCUACCUUGAUUGCCUAACACCCAGCCGAAUUGCACUUACCCUCCAGCUAGAAUCGUUUACUGGAUUCUGAACAUUAGGAACAGAAAGACAGUUAAUUGACUAGAUCUAGCUUCCAGGAACUUAGCCCAUCUCAGGUCUCCUGGGCCUAUAGGGGGCACUCCAGAGCCAAGAUACCUGAUUGUCUUGCAUUUACUUGUUGUGAUGUUUUGUGUCUUUAACAAAUUAUUGGCCCCUAGGUCACUGUGACAGGGCUCAAUAAAUAUAAACUUGUUUUGUGCAAAUCCAUGUGAGGAACAGAUUUUAAGUGACACAGA
Lynx canadensis (Canada lynx) is the source of this 1666-nucleotide long non-coding RNA. RefSeq lists it as uncharacterized. The transcript is spliced from 6 exons. The record is from RefSeq and is a predicted model, not a curated record. Lineage: Eukaryota; Metazoa; Chordata; Mammalia; Carnivora; Felidae.